RNAcentral lists this transfer RNA (127 nucleotides) under Laccaria amethystina LaAM-08-1. It matches the Rfam family "tRNA". From Rfam's summary of the family: Transfer RNA (tRNA) molecules are approximately 80 nucleotides in length. Their secondary structure includes four short double-helical elements and three loops (D, anti-codon, and T loops). Further hydrogen bonds mediate the characteristic L-shaped molecular structure. tRNAs have two regions of fundamental functional importance: the anti-codon, which is responsible for specific mRNA codon recognition, and the 3' end, to which the tRNAs corresponding amino acid is attached (by aminoacyl-tRNA synthetases). tRNAs cope with the degeneracy of the genetic code in two manners: having more than one tRNA (with a specific anti-codon) for a particular amino acid; and 'wobble' base-pairing, i.e. permitting non-standard base-pairing at the 3rd anti-codon position. The record is from Rfam by way of RNAcentral. Lineage: Eukaryota; Fungi; Basidiomycota; Agaricomycetes; Agaricales; Hydnangiaceae.
GGUGAGAUGGCCGGGCGGUCUAAGGCGCCAGACUGGGGACCAGGGCAUUCUAUGUCCUUCAAUAUGUACCAUUCAUGCGCAAUAUAUCUGUUCCUCCUGGGGGUGGGUUCGAAUCCCACUCUCAUCA